This 460-nucleotide ribosomal RNA is filed under the name uncultured bacterium. RNAcentral's name for it is "SSU rRNA". It matches the Rfam family "Bacterial small subunit ribosomal RNA", at positions 26 to 518 of the family's 1533-position model. The record is from RNAcentral.
AGAAUCAACGCUGGCGGCGUGCCUAACGACAUGCAAGUCGAACGAGAAAGGGGAGCAAUCCCUGAGUAAAGUGGCGCACGGGUGAGUAACACGUGACUAACCUACCCUGGAGUGGGGGAUAACUGAGGGAAACCUUAGCUAAUACCGCAUAAUACCUAUGGGUCAAAGGAGCAAUUCGCUUUGGGAGGGGGUCGCGGCCGAUUAGUUAGUUGGCGGGGUAAUGGCCCACCAAGACAGUGAUCGGUAUCCGGCCUGAGAGGGCGCACGGACACACUGGAACUGAAACACGGUCCAGACUCCUACGGGAGGCAGCAGUGGGGAAUUUGCGCAAUGGGGGAAACCCUGACGCAGCAACGCCGCGUGGAGGAUGAAGUACUUCGGUACGUAAACUCCUUUCGAUCGGGACGAUAAUGACGGUACCGGAAGAAGAAGCCCCGGCUAACUUCGUGCCAGCAGCCGC